This 465-nucleotide ribosomal RNA is filed under the name Vreelandella stevensii. RNAcentral describes it as "partial 16S ribosomal RNA". It matches the Rfam family "Bacterial small subunit ribosomal RNA", at positions 338 to 795 of the family's 1533-position model. The record is from RNAcentral. Lineage: Bacteria; Pseudomonadati; Pseudomonadota; Gammaproteobacteria; Oceanospirillales; Halomonadaceae.
CCUACGGGGGGCAGCAGUGGGGAAUAUUGGACAAUGGGGGGAACCCUGAUCCAGCCAUGCCGCGUGUGUGAAGAAGGCCCUCGGGUUGUAAAGCACUUUCAGUGAGGAAGAACGCCUGGUGGUUAAUACCCAUCAGGAAAGGCAUCACUCACAGAAGAAGCACCGGCUAACUCCGUGCCAGCAGCCGCGGUAAUACGGAGGGUGCGAGCGUUAAUCGGAAUUACUGGGCGUAAAGCGCGCGUAGGUGGCUUGAUAAGCCGGUUGUGAAAGCCCCGGGCUCAACCUGGGAACGGCAUCCGGAACUGUCAAGCUAGAGUGCAGGAGAGGAAGGUAGAAUUCCCGGUGUAGCGGUGAAAUGCGUAGAGAUCGGGAGGAAUACCAGUGGCGAAGGCGGCCUUCUGGACUGACACUGACACUGAGGUGCGAAAGCGUGGGUAGCAAACAGGAUUAGAUACCCGAGUAGUC